CCUACGUGAGGCAGCAGUGGGGAAUAUUGCACAAUGGGGGAAACCCUGAUGCAGCGACGCCUCGUGAGUGAAGAAGUAAUUCGUUAUGUAAAGCUCUAUCAGCAGGGAAGAAAAUGACGGUACCUGAGGAAGAAGCCACGGCUAACUACGUGCCAGCAGCCGCGGGAAAACGUAGGGGGCAAGCGUUAUCCGGAUUGACUGGGUGUAAAGGGAGCGUAGACGGCAGGGCAAGGCUGGAGUGAAAGGCGGGGGCUCAACCCCCGGACUGCUCUGGAAACUGUACGGCGGGAGUGCAGGAGAGGUAGGUGGAAUUCCUAGUGUAGCGGUGAGAUGCGUAGAUAUUAGGAGGAACACCAGUGGCGAAGGCGGCUUACUGGACUGUAACUGACGUUGAGGCUCGAAAGCGUGGGGAGCAAACAGGAUUAGAUACCCUUGUAGUC
This 440-nucleotide ribosomal RNA is filed under the name uncultured bacterium. RNAcentral describes it as "partial 16S ribosomal RNA". It matches the Rfam family "Bacterial small subunit ribosomal RNA", at positions 338 to 795 of the family's 1533-position model. The record is from RNAcentral.